RNAcentral lists this ribosomal RNA (612 nucleotides) under Penicillium chrysogenum. Its description in RNAcentral is "eukaryotic LSU rRNA". The stretch from base 233 to 385 matches the Rfam family "5.8S ribosomal RNA". The record is from RNAcentral. Lineage: Eukaryota; Fungi; Ascomycota; Eurotiomycetes; Eurotiales; Aspergillaceae.
UGGAAGUAAAAGUCGUAACAAGGUUUCCGUAAGGUGAACCUGCGGAAGGAUCAUUACCGAGUGAGGGCCCUCUGGGUCCAACCUCCCACCCGUGUUUAUUUUACCUUGUUGCUUCGGCGGGCCCGCCUUAACUGGCCGCCGGGGGGCUUACGCCCCCGGGCCCGCGCCCGCCGAAGACACCCUCGAACUCUGUCUGAAGAUUGUAGUCUGAGUGAAAAUAUAAAUUAUUUAAAACUUUCAACAACGGAUCUCUUGGUUCCGGCAUCGAUGAAGAACGCAGCGAAAUGCGAUACGUAAUGUGAAUUGCAAAUUCAGUGAAUCAUCGAGUCUUUGAACGCACAUUGCGCCCCCUGGUAUUCCGGGGGGCAUGCCUGUCCGAGCGUCAUUGCUGCCCUCAAGCACGGCUUGUGUGUUGGGCCCCGUCCUCCGAUCCCGGGGGACGGGCCCGAAAGGCAGCGGCGGCACCGCGUCCGGUCCUCGAGCGUAUGGGGCUUUGUCACCCGCUCUGUAGGCCCGGCCGGCGCUUGCCGAUCAACCCAAAUUUUUAUCCAGGUUGACCUCGGAUCAGGUAGGGAUACCCGCUGAACUUAAGCAUAUCAAUAAGCGGAGGAA